Molecule: long non-coding RNA, 2065 nt
Filed under: Stegodyphus dumicola
Lineage: Eukaryota; Metazoa; Arthropoda; Arachnida; Araneae; Eresidae
Description: uncharacterized LOC118196798
Source: RNAcentral
AACUUUUGUCUAUGGGUUAUAGGCAUAAAAUCUGUAUAUUUACUAGACACUCCUUAUAUGUUGAAGAAAAAGAACAUAAUCCUGCAUGAAUAUUUAUUUUUAGUUUGUUUAAUAAUGAUAAAUGGUUUCAGAUAUUAGGUACUAAUAUUUAGCUAUAAAAUAAUUAUGUUCGAGCGAAAUGAGUAAAAUCGGACUUUCUUUUUUAACAAGAGUAUUGCCAUACGUGAAAAGGUUUUGAAUUUAAAAAGUAGUAUUUGCAGAUUUCGGCUGCUUGUACAUCGCGCAGCUCCAAAUGAAUGGCUAGUAAAUGAGAUCUGUAAAAUAUAGUUUGACAGAAAUGUAUGGUAUUUGAGUACUUUUACCAAUAGAUUAUAUUUGCAAGUAAUCUUUAUGGUAAUACUUUUAAAUGGGAAAUUGGCCAACUUCCACAUUGUAUGAUUAAAAGAUGAUGCUUUGCCUGUCUGCAAAAUUAGUCAAGAGUUUUAAGAAGUUAGAAUUUAUUGUGGCUACCUCGUCUGUCCUGAUUUGUAAUAUUUUUUGAAUUUUUUAGAAGAAAAUUGGAUUUAAAAGUAUAUAUGCUGUUGUUCAAAAUUAAAAAAAUUUUCACAUUUGAUCAAUUAUCGUCAGAACUCAUAGACAGAUUUUAAUGAAGUUUGGUAUGCACAUAGGUUAAUAGAAUACAAAACAAUAUAUUAUACAACAGUCAUAUUGCACACAAGGGUAUUGGAGUGUGUGGACUUCUCCUCCCUAUUAGUGUGAAGCUCGUUGAAGAAGGCUAAUAGGGAGUAUGAACCUCUCUAACUAUCAUGGAGUUGACAUAAGAUGAUUUCAGACUGGGGAAAUAAGUUUAUCAAUCUUUGUGUACACUUAGUCUCAUUUCUGCAGCAGCAUUGUUUCCAGCUCUUGGAGAUUUCUGGGAUAGGGAAUGCAAGUUGCACUUGCUAUCCUAAGAACAUUCCAGACAUCUUCUAUAGAUUAAGAUCUGAAGAUAUGGCCGGCCAAACUGUCCAGUUAAUAUCCUUUCUUUCCAGAGAAUCCUUCACUGGAAUAACCUUAUGUGGUCGAAUGUUGUCAUCCAUAAAAAUGAGCUUAAAGUAAACUGCAUCCUUGAAAAGAUGUAUGUAGGUGUCUAAAAUAUCUUCCUUGCGCCAGUCAUGGAGCAUGUGAUGUGAAAAGAUGUGAAGGUCUUUACAUCUGUGUAGCACGAUGCUGCACUGACAUUCAUUCAAAACUCUAAUGCUAUACUGGUCCAUUAUACUGGGUGUUGGAGGACAGAUAACAUUUCCCUGGUACUUUCCAGAUGAAGGUACUUUGGGAAUCAGUGGUUAGGCUGAAUUGAAACUCAUCUCUGAAAGGAGCAUUUCCUACUAAUGCUUGGUUUAAAGUCAGUGUUAUCUGCACCAUACUAAAUAGACUGUUAUGUGUGCAGAAGUCGGGAUGCAAACAGCAGGUCUUUCAAACAGACCUUUCGCAUAUAGCCUUCGGGAAACAGUAACUCUUGAAGCCCAUCUUUCUGUGGCCUCAUGAGUCAUGAGAGAGCUGAAAGGUUGUUACAAUACUCAUAUUACGCCUUGCUUGACCAUGUUAUUUCUCUUAAUAGGCAUGGUAUCUUUAAACAUUUUUCUUAAGUUGUACAAGAGGUUGGGCGUAAAGCUGCGUUCAGACUUGGGCAUAAAGCGCAUAGAGGCAUAGUCAUAAGGGCAUAAAAUACGGAACAUCCGUUCACACCUGCGAGACGGGGGUCUAAGCUGUGGCCAAUGAGAGAAGCUAAAUUUGCGCAUGCGUGGAUGUGUCUACACCUUUCGCACGCUGUUUUCUAGCCCAAUUGAUUUCUCCCGCUCGCUCUGCUCGUUUUCGUUAUUUUGUGUCAUGGCUUUUUCAGCUGACCACAAAGUUUUACUGGUUCAGCAGAAUGCUCUUUUAUCUGCUCUGCUUAUAAGCCAAGAGGCAAUGGAAGAAGGUAAAAAAAAGAAAAAUAACAAAAUGGUCUAGAGAUAUUUUUUUGAAAGACCAAUAUUUAGUUGGCACAUAUAUUUCUGUGCAAAGCAGUAUGGAAUAUUUAGCA